ACUCCUACGGGAGGCAGCAGUGGGGAAUAUUGCACAAUGGAGGAAACUCUGAUGCAGCAACGCCGCGUGGAGGAUGAAGGUUUUCGAAUCGUAAACUCCUUUUAUGUUAGAAGAUAAUGACGGUAUAACAUGAAUAAGCACCGGCUAACUCCGUGCCAGCAGCCGCGGUAACACGGGGGGUGCAAGCGUUACUCGGAAUUACUGGGCGUAAAGGGUACGUAGGUGUUCUAUUAAGUCAGAUGUGAAAUCCUAUGGCUCAACCAUAGAACUGCAUUUGAAACUAAUAGAAUAGAGUUCAGGAGGGGUAAGUGGAAUUAGUGGUGUAGGGGUAAAAUCCGUAGAUAUCACUAGGAAUACCAAAAGCGAAGGCGACUUACUGGAAUGAUACUGACACUGAGGUACGAAAGCGUGGGGAGCGAACGGGAUUAGAUACCCCAGUAGUCC
RNAcentral lists this ribosomal RNA (444 nucleotides) under uncultured Campylobacterota bacterium. RNAcentral's name for it is "bacterial SSU rRNA". It matches the Rfam family "Bacterial small subunit ribosomal RNA", at positions 335 to 796 of the family's 1533-position model. The record is from RNAcentral. Lineage: Bacteria; Pseudomonadati; Campylobacterota.